Molecule: ribosomal RNA, 399 nt
Filed under: Circinaria jussuffii
Lineage: Eukaryota; Fungi; Ascomycota; Lecanoromycetes; Pertusariales; Megasporaceae
Description: partial 12S small subunit ribosomal RNA
Rfam family: Bacterial small subunit ribosomal RNA
Source: RNAcentral
CGCGGUAAUACGUGGAAGACUAGUGUUAUUCAUCUUUAAUAGGUUUAUAGGGUACUUAGACGGUAAAUUAAGCCCAGAUAAAUACAAAGGGUACUAAUUAUACUAGAGUUUGAUAAGAGGAGGGUGUGUACUAGUGGUGUAGAGAUGAAAUUCAGUCAUACCAUUAUGACAGGCAACGGCGAAAGCAACCUUUAGAUAAAAACUGACGUUAAAGGACGAAGGCUUUGUGUCACCAACAGGAUUAGAUACCCAAGCAGUCUUAGCAGACAAUUAUGAAUGCCAUAGGUAAGAAGAAAACACAUUUAUUUUUUCUUUUUUUUUACAUAAUUUAUAGAGAUUAGACAUAAAAUAAAAAAGAAAUAGGAUGUCACAUUAUCUAUAGAAGACGAUGUAUUUCAU